RNAcentral lists this ribosomal RNA (254 nucleotides) under uncultured bacterium. RNAcentral's name for it is "partial 16S ribosomal RNA". It matches the Rfam family "Bacterial small subunit ribosomal RNA", at positions 524 to 777 of the family's 1533-position model. The record is from RNAcentral.
UACGAAGGGUGCAAGCGUUACUCGGAAUUACUGGGCGUAAAGCGUGCGUAGGUGGUGAGUUAAGUCUGUCGUGAAAGCCCCGGGCUCAACCUGGGAAUGGCGAUGGAUACUGGCUCGCUAGAGUGCGGUAGAGGAGAGUGGAAUUCCCGGUGUAGCAGUGAAAUGCGUAGAGAUCGGGAGGAACAUCAGUUGCGAAGGCGGCUCUCUGGACCAGCACUGACACUGAGGCACGAAAGCGUGGGGAGCAAACGGGG